ACCUACACUGGCCUGGACUCAUACACGCAUCAGCUGAUUACAGUGCAUCAGUGUUUUAUCACUCGCUCAAGAAUUAGCUUCGGAAGCCUAUAUAUAUAUCAAGCCGGAAGACCUCUUGCUAUUUGCUAGAGAAGUAGUCCCCGAAGGCUAUUAAGUAGCAGUGUCAAUUGCAGAAGCAAUGUCCUGGCUGUGGGUUCUAGUGCAAUUGCUGGUGAUGGUGCACGGCAGGACUUUCGGGUUUACCUUCGGCCCGUUUGGAACAGAAAAUCCCAAUUGUGCCUAUGUCGACUGCCCUCAUGUUAUAGUUCCCGGAUGCAUACCCAUCACACCACCUGGCCAAUGCUGCCCUGAUUGGUCGCAAUGCAAAGGCAGCGAGUGGUGAAGAAACUGCAUGACCAUGACAGCCCGCUGAAGGAAUUGCAUGCAUGACCAUUUCCGUGGUGCCAAAACCGGGAUCAUCGUUGAUAAAGCUCAAUUUAUUUACAGUGUGCAUAUGAAAUAACCUUUACUUGAAUUAUUAAGUAAUGAAUAAAAAUAUGAAAGAUU
Molecule: long non-coding RNA, 546 nt
Filed under: Penaeus japonicus
Lineage: Eukaryota; Metazoa; Arthropoda; Malacostraca; Decapoda; Penaeidae
Description: uncharacterized LOC122258936
Source: RNAcentral